This 489-nucleotide ribosomal RNA is filed under the name uncultured bacterium. RNAcentral describes it as "partial 16S ribosomal RNA". It matches the Rfam family "Bacterial small subunit ribosomal RNA", at positions 30 to 507 of the family's 1533-position model. The record is from RNAcentral.
AUUGAACGCUGGCGGCAGGCCUAACACAUGCAAGUCGAACGGUAACAGGAAGCAGCUUGCUGCUUCGCUGACGAGUGGCGGACGGGUGAGUAAUGUCUGGGAAGCUGCCUGAUGGAGGGGGAUAACUACUGGAAACGGUAGCUAAUACCGCAUAAUGUCGCAAGACCAAAGAGGGGGACCUUCGGGCCUCUUGCCAUCGGAUGUGCCCAGAUGGGAUAGCUUGUUGGUGGGGUAACGGCUCACCAAGGCGACGAUCCCUAGCUGGUCUGAGAGGAUGACCAGCCACACUGGAACUGAGACACGGUCCAGACUCCUACGGGAGGCAGCAGUGGGGAAUAUUGCACAAUGGGCGCAAGCCUGAUGCAGCCAUGCCGCGUGUAUGAAGAAGGCCUUCGGGUUGUAAAGUACUUUCAGCGGGGAGGAAGGGAGUAAAGUUAAUACCUUUGCUCAUUGACGUUACCCGCAGAAGAAGCACCGGCUAACUCCGUG